UAUAAUAGUCUUAUUGGUAACAACGUCAAAUAUAUCUUUUUUGAGUAAUGCUUCUAUACUUGUUUUUUUCGUUACCGUUCAUUCACUCCUAUUCAACAACUCAAAUUUAAUAUUUUUAAAAUUGUGACCUGCAAUAGCAGGUCAGUUUGGGAGAGGUACUGAUUACCAAGUGCCUCAAAUAAGGGUAUUUUUGUCUUUUAAUACAUGAACAAUUUAAUCAUUUUAUCUCUACUAUAUUAUCAAAAUUUUUAUUCUCUUUUUGGUCCUUUUUCUCUCUCUAUCUUUUCUCUCACAUUUUGACAUUUCAUACCAGGAAAGUUUCAAAUUAUUUGAAAACAUGAUUUUAAAAGAUAAUUUUUCUUUUCUUUUUGUUUAAUUGUUUAAUAUUGCAAAUGAGUUUAAUUUUAAAACUCUAGCAGUUAAAAUGUCAUUCUUUUAAAACGUUUAUUAUCUCUAACGAUUAUAGAUUGUUCUUAAUCUUAUUCAGUUCAAUAAAUCAUAUUCUUGAUAGAAUAAAUUAAGGUCUGAUCAGUCGAAUCAAUUGAUUCAAUCUAGUUUUUAAAUCAUUGAUACUAAUUUAAUUAAAUGAAUAAUAAAAGUUAAGAAGCUAAUUGUAAACUAAAAGGUAAGGAA
RNAcentral lists this long non-coding RNA (633 nucleotides) under Ananas comosus (pineapple). Its description in RNAcentral is "long non-coding RNA (ACOM_LNC004551)". The record is from RNAcentral. Lineage: Eukaryota; Viridiplantae; Streptophyta; Magnoliopsida; Poales; Bromeliaceae.